AUGGGUAUGGAGGAUGAGGACCAGGGGGAGGGUGAGCAGGACGGACAUGGGGAAGGUGCUGCGAGGCCGGAGAUCCAGCGGCGCUCGGGUCGCGGUGGUGUGGGGCCGACCAUCACUCCCGACCACUUACCGCUGGUUUUUGUUCCUCAUCCCCAAUCUAGGUUUGGCCCUGUCAUCUUCUUCCUCCCAAGUUUUUGCCUCUUGAUUUCUUUGUUUCCUGAUUUUGAUUUCUCGAUUUACAAUUUUUCUGAACAUGAUAUGUGCAGAUCUUAUGAAGAAGAUAAGAGGGACGAUCUUGAGGAAGAGUCAAGAACAAGGUGA
Molecule: ribosomal RNA, 321 nt
Filed under: Triticum aestivum (bread wheat)
Lineage: Eukaryota; Viridiplantae; Streptophyta; Magnoliopsida; Poales; Poaceae
Description: partial small subunit ribosomal RNA
Source: RNAcentral